GCCCAACAGCUAGCCCACCUAAACAAUUUCAACAAACCCCUGUUAAUAACCCCUAAAUACACUAGUAUUUAAAUUAAACAAACCAUUUUUCCCCCUUAGUAUAGGCGAUAGAAAAGGGACUACGGCGCAAUAGAGAAAGUACCGCAAGGGAAUGCUGAAAGAGAAAUGAAACAACCCAGUAAAGCCUAGAAAAGCAGAGAUUUAUUCUCGUACCUUUUGCAUCAUGAUUUAGCGAGUGUACCCCAAGCAAAGCGUACUUUAGUUUGACGACCCGAAACUACGUGAGCUACUCCAAGACAGCCUAUUAAUAGGGCAUACCCGUCUCUGUGGCAAAAGAGUGGGGAGAGCUUUGAGUAGAGGUGACAAACCUACCGAACCUAGUUAUAGCUGGUUGUCCAAGAAAUGAAUAGAAGUUCAGCCUCUUGGCUUCUCGUUUCAUCCUAGUCUUACCCCUACUGAUACCUUAAAGAAACCGAGAGAGUUAGUCAAAGGGGGUACAGCCCCUUUGAAUCAAGACACAACUUUACCAGGUGGGU
Molecule: ribosomal RNA, 536 nt
Filed under: Ricuzenius pinetorum
Lineage: Eukaryota; Metazoa; Chordata; Actinopteri; Perciformes; Cottidae
Description: partial 16S ribosomal RNA
Rfam family: Bacterial large subunit ribosomal RNA
Source: RNAcentral